This 2124-nucleotide long non-coding RNA is filed under the name Dasypus novemcinctus (nine-banded armadillo). Its description in RNAcentral is "lncRNA (ENSDNOG00000050172.1)". The record is from RNAcentral. Lineage: Eukaryota; Metazoa; Chordata; Mammalia; Cingulata; Dasypodidae.
GACCUGCUCGUACCGGAAGUGCUUUUCCCUUUGGGGUCAGCUCCCCGGAAGCGAUUCUUCGCCCUCUCGCCCCAGCGGCCUCCAGGGCGGUUCCGCAGCUCGAGAGGGCGGUGCCCCGGGCCAGGUCGGCGGAAGUCCCGUUUCAGAGUUUCAAGGCAUACGUUUGUGUUUUCCCUAAGCAGUUACUGAAGAGCCUGGACUGUGUCGUUGGGCAGCGUUCACAUCCUCAAUAUGCCCCAGACCGUGUGGCCUUGGACGGGUUGCAUAACCUCUCUGAGCUUCCCGGGUGAUGAAGUCCGCGUUAUCAAUAAAUUGUAUAGCUCGUGCCGUAGAGGGGACCCUUUAACAGACAGUCCCUGUUAUGUCCGGUGGCACCAGUGGCUCCGGUCCGACCUGAGAAGCAGCUUUAAAUGCGGGCCAAGCUGGCUGACCUUCCCCACGCAGAUUUAGAGGACUCUGGCAAUUCUUUUCCUUAAUGAAGAAUGCCUUCCCUGCCUAAUCCUAAUGCCUGAACUUCAAGGAAUCCCAGACACCCUGUUGAAUGGUCUCCAGGUUCCCUUGCUUCAGAACAGACACUGACUGGCACUGUAGGUACAGAGGAGAAUGUGGGAAAUGCUUCUGUCUCUGCCUGAAGCCAAACAGGGAGGAGGGACGCCCCCGGAAGUCUACCUGGGCUUUUUAUUUUCCUUUCUGGCCCUGGACACCUGUGUGCAAGAGUCCUGGAUGCGAUGAUGAAAGAAGAGAUUUAUCAUCUUCUUAUCCAAGAGAAGGAACUGCUCAAUAGAUUAGAAGUGAGCUGCUCAUGAGAGGUAGGUAUGCUAUGACAAUAGUUAUCCUGUGUGGAAUCAGUUCAUUUCUAGUGCAAGGCACGAGGCAGAUGUAUAAGAAAAUAGUGGUAGUCUUCAAAAAAUAUUAAACGCCUGCCCCCUCAAACACAGACAGACACACAUCCAGUUUUGUAAUUUCUUGGCAUGUGUGAGCUUUGGAGGUGUCACCAAAUUGAUGGUCUAGUGAUAUGAGCACCUCUUCUAGCAUGGAGGCACUACGGCUAGCUUUAAAUAAAUGGUUCAUUGUGAAAUUGUGCCAUGGCUUCCCCAUAGGUUAUCCAAGAUUGAGAAAAACACAAUAUAAUGUCACAAGCAGUUUACUGGGUGGACUGGGGAAUUUUUCAUAUAGGUGCCUUCAGACCUUUAAAUUGAGAAUACAUGGUUAGUGCAAAGAAACAGAUUGGGAGGCUGCAGGAAAAAAGUCUGCACUUUUUAGAGACAGCCUAAUCUCCAAACUACUUUAAAAUGUUGAUAAAGUCAGUCUGGGAAUUACUCAGCAUCUUCUAUACUAUCAGUUUUUCUCAAAUCAAAUAGACAGUCUGUGCUAUAGCUCCAAGGUUGUGAGGUUUUUUUGUUUUGGUUUGGUUUGGUUUUUGGUUUUCUGGUUUUUGUUUUUUUCCUUUCCAAUUAUUUUAUUUUUCUUUCUGUCAUUCUAAUCAAAAUCCCCCAAAAGUUUCCCAUAUUUUUUUAUAAAUUUUUUUAAAGACACUUUAGAUUACAUAAGUGUUACAUAAAAAAUAUAAGGAUUCCCAUAUGCCCCCCUCCUUCCCCCUCCCACACUUUCCCACAUUAACAACAUCCAUCAGUAGUGUGGUACGUUUGUUAAAAUGGAUGAACACAUACUGAAGCAUUGCUACUAACCAUGGACUAGUUUACAUUAUAGUUGACACUCUGUCCUGCACCAUUUUGUAGGUUAUGACAAAAUAUACAAUGGUCUGUAUCCACCAUCACUGCAAUGUCAUGCAGGACAAAUCCAAUGCCCCCAUUUUACACCUUUUCUUCCCUCUCCCAUCCCUCAGAACCUCUGGUGGCCACUGCCUUUAUAUCAAUGAUAAGAGUUCUUCCAAUGCUAGAAUAAUAAGAAGUCUGUAAUAGAAUAAUAAUAAGUCUACUUUAGUCCAUUGUUCAUUCCUCAAUCUCGAGGAUUUGGGGAUGGUGAUGCCCACUCUGCGUCUAAUUGAGAGGGGGCUUAGAUCCCAUGGGGCAGAUGGAUAGAACUAUCUAGCUGCAAGGUUUUUAAACAUAAGUCUUGGCCAAUUGAAAAUUUUUAUCAUCAACCUUACAAAAUUAUCACCUA